RNAcentral lists this long non-coding RNA (713 nucleotides) under Monodelphis domestica (gray short-tailed opossum). Its description in RNAcentral is "lncRNA (ENSMODG00000031178.2)". Lineage: Eukaryota; Metazoa; Chordata; Mammalia; Didelphimorphia; Didelphidae. The record is from RNAcentral.
AAAAAAAAACAUAACAAAGUCCAUUUGGAAGAACAAAAGAUCAAGGAUAUCCAGGGAAAUAAUGAAAAAAAUGAGAAGGAAGGUAGCCUUGCAGUCCCAGAAUUCAAACUAUACUAUAAAGCAGUGGUCAUCAAAAUAAUAUGGCAAUGGCUAAGAGACAGAAAGGAGGAUCAGUGGAGUAGGCUUGGGAUUCAUCUCUUCUCCACAGAUCUGACAGGUAUCAGCACCAUAUUUGUGUCAUAAAAACAUUUUGGUUAGAUACAAGCAAAGGAAAGAUGACUAGCUAAUGGAAAUAGACUUCAGUAUGCUAAUGGAAGCAAUGUCCACAUGAGAAGUAAAGUAAAAUACAUCAUUAUCUUCCAUCACUCUACUCUUCUAUUCAUUUGUGUGAAGUAAGAAGGAGAAGACUAGCUGGAUGGAGAGGAGAUUGGAGAACAUCACAAUUCAAGAGUAAUGGAUGGAUGUUUCAGAGAGACCACUUUUGGCUAAAAUGAAAAAAUACAUAAAAAUUAAAGCUAUAUAAAAAUAACUAACUUAAGGAGGUAAUGACUUCCUCAUCAAUGGACAUCUUUAUUUCUUUAUUUUACAUGUAAUUUAAAUUGCCCUUCCCCAGCCUCUUCUCACUGAACAAUAAUAACAGUAGCAGCAGUAACAACAAAAGAAACUCUCAUCAUUAACUUGUAUAAUUUGGCAAAAAUAAAUUCACAUUGGCU